Long non-coding RNA from Nymphalis io (European peacock), 197 nucleotides. RefSeq lists it as uncharacterized. The transcript has 3 exons. Lineage: Eukaryota; Metazoa; Arthropoda; Insecta; Lepidoptera; Nymphalidae. The record is from RefSeq and is a predicted model, not a curated record.
AGUUCACCGCGUCAGUCAAAGUGUUCUAUUUGUUCCGCUGCCAGUUGUCCACAUUUACCAAAAAUGAUACAAUCGGAAAAAUCGUGGAGAACAUUUGAUGGUCCAGCAAGCAGUAAACCAAUUGCACGAAAGUCAAAAUAUAAAACUCCGACCACACCUAUGCCGGAAAAAAGAGUUCAAUCAGUAACUGUCCCUCG